ACGUAGGGUGCAAGCGUUAAUCGGAAUUACUGGGCGUAAAGCGUGCGCAGGCGGUUGUGCAAGACAGAUGUGAAAUCCCCGGGCUUAACCUGGGAACUGCAUUUGUGACUGCACGGCUAGAGUGUGUCAGAGGGGGGUAGAAUUCCACGUGUAGCAGUGAAAUGCGUAGAUAUGUGGAGGAAUACCGAUGGCGAAGGCAGCCCCCUGGGAUAACACUGACGCUCAUGCACGAAAGCGUGGGGAGCAAACAGGAUUAGAUACCCUGGUAGUCCACGCCCUAAACGAUGUCAACUAGUUGUCGGGGAUUCAUUUCCUUGGUAACGCAGCUAACGCGUGAAGUUGACCGCCUGGGGAGUACGGUCGCAAGAUUA
This 371-nucleotide ribosomal RNA is filed under the name uncultured bacterium. RNAcentral's name for it is "bacterial SSU rRNA". It matches the Rfam family "Bacterial small subunit ribosomal RNA", at positions 525 to 896 of the family's 1533-position model. The record is from RNAcentral.